GUCUCGCUCUGUCGCCCAGGCUGGAAUGCAGUGGUGUGAUCUCGGCUCACUGCAACCUCCGCCUUCCGGGUACAAGUGAUUCUCCUGCCUCAGCCUCCCAAGUAGCUGGAAUUACAGCCAACCAUACAACUGCAGAGAUCCACAGAGCUACCGUUUGAGGAAUAAGGAACCCUGUACAUAGCCAGGGGCAUUCUAAAAUCCCCAAACUUGAAUCCUACUUCCGACUUUGCUAGGACACCGCAGGAAUUACCAUCAAAGAAGGAAAAAGAUGCACAGAAGUUUCCCAUUCGACAGCUACGAUUCUACAACCCCAUAGUCUUUCUAAACCACAGGCUGCAUUUUC
Molecule: long non-coding RNA, 343 nt
Filed under: Homo sapiens (human)
Lineage: Eukaryota; Metazoa; Chordata; Mammalia; Primates; Hominidae
Description: HSALNT0407317
Source: RNAcentral